AUGGUCCUAUAUAUACCACAUAACAACAGUUCUGAUUCAUUGGAUAAGUUAGAGGUAAGCCAUGGUCCUACAUAUACCACAUAAAAACAGUCCUGAUUUAUUGGAUAAGUUAUAGGUAAGCCAUGGUCCUACAUAUACCAUAUAAGAACAGUCCUUCUGAUUCAUUGGAUAAGUUAGAGGUAAGCCAUGGUCCUACAUAUACCAUAUAAGAACAGUCCUUCUGAUUUAUUGGAUAAGUUAGAGGUAAGCCAUGGUCCUACAUAUACCAUAUAAGAACAGUCCUUCUCAUUCAUUGGAUAAGUUAGAGGUAAGCCAUGGCCCUACAUAUACCAUAUAAGAACAGUCCUGAUUCAUUGGAUAAGUUAGAGGUAAGCCAUGGUCCUACAUAUACCAUAUAAGAACAGUCCUUCUGAUUCAUUGGAUAAGUUAGAGGUAAGCCAUGGUCCUACAUAUACCAUAUAAGAACAGUCCUUCUGAUUCAUUGGAUAAGUUAGAGGUAAGCCAUGGUCCUACAUAUACCAUAUAAGAACAGUCCUUCUGAUUCAUUGGAUAAGUUAGAGGUAAGCCAUGGUCCUACAUAUACCAUAUAAGAACAGUCCUUCUGAUUCAUUUGAUAAGUUGGAGGUAAGCCAUGGUCCUACAUGUACCAUAUAAGAACAGUCCUUCUGAUUUAUUGGAUAAGUUAGAGGUAAGCCAUGGUCCUACAUAUACCAUAUAAGAACAGUCCUUCUGAUUCAUUGGAUAAGUUAGAGGUAAGCCAUGGUCCUACAUAUACCAUAUAAGAACAGUCCUUCUGAUUCAUUGGAUAAGUUAGAGGUAAGCCAUGGUCCUACAUAUACCAUAUAAGAACAGUCCUUCUGAUUCAUUGGAUAAGUUAGAGGUAAGCCAUGGUCCUACAUAUACCAUAUAAGAACAGUCCUUCUGAUUCAUUUGAUAAGUUGGAGGUAAGCCAUGGUCCUACAUAUACCAUAUAAGAACAGUCCUUCUGAUUCAUUGGAUAAGUUAGAGGUAAGCCAUGGUCCUACAUAUACCAUAUAAGAACAGUCCUUCUGAUUUAUUGGAUAAGUUAGAGGUAAGCCAUGGUCCUACAUAUACCAUAUAAGAACAGUCCUUCUCAUUCAUUGGAUAAGUUAGAGGUAAGCCAUGGCCCUACAUAUACCAUAUAAGAACAGUCCUGAUUCAUUGGAUAAGUUAGAGGUAAGCCAUGGUCCUACAUAUACCAUAUAAGAACAGUCCUUCUGAUUCAUUGGAUAAGUUAGAGGUAAGCCAUGGUCCUACAUAUACCAUAUAAGAACAGUCCUUCUGAUUCAUUGGAUAAGUUAGAGGUAAGCCAUGGUCCUACAUAUACCAUAUAAGAACAGUCCUUCUGAUUCAUUGGAUAAGUUAGAGGUAAGCCAUGGUCCUACAUAUACCAUAUAAGAACAGUCCUUCUGAUUCAUUUGAUAAGUUGGAGGUAAGCCAUGGUCCUACAUGUACCAUAUAAGAACAGUCCUUCUGAUUUAUUGGAUAAGUUAGAGGUAAGCCAUGGUCCUACAUAUACCAUAUAAGAACAGUCCUUCUGAUUCAUUGGAUAAGUUAGAGGUAAGCCAUGGUCCUACAUAUACCAUAUAAGAACAGUCCUUCUGAUUCAUUGGAUAAGUUAGAGGUAAGCCAUGGUCCUACAUAUACCAUAUAAGAACAGUCCUUCUGAUUCAUUGGAUAAGUUAGAGGUAAGCCAUGGUCCUACAUAUACCAUAUAAGAACAGUCCUUCUGAUUCAUUUGAUAAGUUGGAGGUAAGCCAUGGUCCUGCAUGUACCAUAUAAGAACAGUCCUCAUUCAUUGGAUAAGUUAGAGGUAAGCCAUGGUCCUACAUGUACCAUAUAAGAACAGUCCUUCUGAUUUAUUGGAUAAGUUAGAGGUAAGCCAUGGUCCUACAUAUACCAUAUAAGAACAGUCCUUCUGAUUCAUUGGAUAAGUUAGAGGUAAGCCAUGGUCCUACAUAUACCAUAUAAGAACAGUCCUUCUGAUUCAUUGGAUAAGUUAGAGGUAAGCCAUGGUCCUACAUAUACCAUAUAAGAACAGUCCUUCUGAUUUAUUGGAUAAGUUAGAGGUAAGCCAUGGUACCAUAUAUAAUAGGCAACAACAGUACUUCCGAUUCAUUGGUUAAUAUACCAGGGGGCCAUUUCAAAAAGCUCUUCGUGUGUUAAGAGCGACUUUAAGAACAACUGGUGAUAAUUUCUUACGCGCUAAACCAUAGCCAAUGAAUAUACCAUUUACCAU
RNAcentral lists this long non-coding RNA (2260 nucleotides) under Lytechinus variegatus (green sea urchin). RNAcentral's name for it is "uncharacterized LOC121428863". The record is from RNAcentral. Lineage: Eukaryota; Metazoa; Echinodermata; Echinoidea; Temnopleuroida; Toxopneustidae.